This 95-nucleotide small nucleolar RNA is filed under the name Petasospora fabianii. Its description in RNAcentral is "Cyberlindnera fabianii Small nucleolar RNA snR60/Z15/Z230/Z193/J17". It matches the Rfam family "Small nucleolar RNA snR60/Z15/Z230/Z193/J17". Rfam says of the family: The members of this family belong to the C/D class of snoRNAs which contain the C (UGAUGA) and D (CUGA) box motifs. The record is from Rfam by way of RNAcentral. Lineage: Eukaryota; Fungi; Ascomycota; Saccharomycetes; Phaffomycetales; Wickerhamomycetaceae.
GUUUAGGUGAUGAUAGAAAAGUUUAUGCAUAGUUCAACUGAUCAUAACUGAAGAAAAACUCUACCAUCGUCUUUCGCUCCUAUCUGAUUCUAUAU